GACGAACGCUGGCGGCGUGCUUAACACAAGCAAGUCGAACGCUGAAGCUCAGCUUGCUGGGUGGAUGAGUGGCGAACGGGUGAGUAACACGUGAGUAACCUGCCCUCUUCUUUGGGAUAACGCCCGGAAACGGGUGCUAAUACUGGAUAUUCACUGAUUCUCGCAUGGGGGUUGGUGGAAAGGUUUUUUCUGGUGGGGGAUGGGCUCGCGGCCUAUCAGCUUGUUGGUGGGGUGAUGGCCUACCAAGGCUUUGACGGGUAGCCGGCCUGAGAGGGUGACCGGUCACAUUGGGACUGGGAUACGGCCCAGACGCCUACGGGAGGCAGCAGUGGGGAAUAUUGCACAAUGGGCGAAAGCCUGAUGCAGCGACGCCGCGUGAGGGACGGAGGCCUUCGGGUUGUAAACCUCUUUCGCUCAUGGUCAAGCCGCAGCUUUGGGUUGUGGUGAGGGUAGUGGGUAAAGAAGCGCCGGCUAACUACGUG
RNAcentral lists this ribosomal RNA (482 nucleotides) under uncultured bacterium. RNAcentral describes it as "partial 16S ribosomal RNA". It matches the Rfam family "Bacterial small subunit ribosomal RNA", at positions 28 to 507 of the family's 1533-position model. The record is from RNAcentral.